GCCGGGUGUGGUGGCGCAUGCCUGUAAUCCCAGCUACUUAGGAGGCUGAGGCAGGAGAAUCGCUUGAACCCAGGAGGCAGAGGUUGCAGUGAGCCAAGAUGGCCCCACUGCACUUCAGCCUGGGUGACAAAGCGAGAAUCCCUCUCAA
Molecule: unclassified non-coding RNA, 148 nt
Organism: Callithrix jacchus (white-tufted-ear marmoset)
Lineage: Eukaryota; Metazoa; Chordata; Mammalia; Primates; Cebidae
Rfam family: Metazoan signal recognition particle RNA
About the family: The signal recognition particle (SRP) is a universally conserved ribonucleoprotein. It is involved in the co-translational targeting of proteins to membranes.
Source: Ensembl